GCAGAACCCCAGUUCAAGUCUGCCUCAGUUGCUAGCAGAAUCCGGGAGUGCCUGUUUCCUGGACCUCCCCCAGCAUAAAAGUCUCGUUACGCCCAGCUUUUUCCUUCCCUCUUUGUGCUUUAGACUUCUGCGCAGGGUGGGUGACGGAAGGGGCGUGCUUCCCUCCUGGCCAGCUUUGCCAGGAGCGGUGCUGAGGCUCCCAGCAGCAUCCUCUGGUCCUUUCACCUCUUCCCCACUGGAGAUGGGGCUUUCCUCAUCACCGGAAGAGGAACUGCUUCACAAGAUUUUCGGAGCCUCCCUGUAACACAACUGCCCCUCUGUUUCCCGCCCCUGUUCUGAUGGCAGUUCCCUGACAUUCUCUAAACGUAUGUUCUUCUUGUUCUCUUAUUCUAUAUGUUAAAUCUGAAAGCUGAGCAUAUUCCGUCAGCUUAAGUUGCCAUUCAUCUUUGGUUGGGACCUCACUCGUUUUCCAUUUUUGGGCUGACAAAACACGGGCCGCAGUAGUGGCAGACAUAAAUAACCUUUUUUGACACCUGGGAAUUUCUGUCUGAAUUAUCCCCAACAAAAAGGGCUCUGGUUUUGGGUUUUUUUGAAAAGAACCUUUAAACAUUUUUUUCAAUUCAUUAUAAAUUAUUUCCCAGUACUCUUUUACCCUUUUACAAGUCCACCAUAUGUGAUAGAACAUACCCUCAACCUCAAUUUCAAAAAGGACCUUCCUUCUGGACAAGAGUCCAAGUCUCCCUCCCUCCUUGUAGCCAAUGAGACCCAUCCUCUUCCUCCUGAUCCAAAUAGGAAUUAGCCAACUGUAUUGAUACACUCCACCCCAAUCUCUGAGUAAGUUUGCAGGGGUCCAGGCACCUACCCAGAGUUUGUGCUUCCUUUGGAAAUGAGGCCCAGCGGAGACUGUGGUGCCUUUAGGACAUAUGGUUUCUUUACACAUCUCUACAGCCUGAUCUUACAGUGGAGGGGCUCACAGCAUUCACACCCCAAUAGGUUCAUCCUUCUCCCCUGACCACAGCUGCCUUGGAUUCUAGCAAGGCCCCAGCCAUGGCUCUGAUCCUCUCCCUCCAGCUUGCCACUUACAGACUGAACCCUUUUCCACCACAGCAAACUGAAAUCCCAAAAGCUCAAAACUCUUUUGUCUCUGCCCCCUAGCUCAGAGCUCAGGGUGGGGGGUCUACCCAUUUGCAUCUGGCACAGAGUCCCCAUUUCCUUUGUGGCUUAUCGCCUUCCUUUGUGAGGCUCGGGGCUCAUAAUUAGCAGCCAGGAACUAUAACAAUAUAUUAAAGUAUAUUAAAAGCACAUCCCCCCAUUCUUCCUGCAUCUUGCCCCUCAACAGGCGGUAUGAGUCCAAUUUCAAGCGACAGCCCCCUCCUUCCCCUGCCCUGAUGCCUUUAUCUCCUCAUAGUGGGCGAUUGGUUAAUUGCUCUGUAAAGACCCAUCUAUUUUGUCAUAAUCAUGAUUUCACAGCCUUGGGAUGAUCUCCCCUGAGUUGCACUGUGGCAAGGCUGCCUAAAGAAAGUAUAUAAAUGUAUCAUUGUGCCUUAGAUUAUAGUGCCUAAUUAUAAGAAACCAAAUGCUGUGUCUUUCAUUGGGCCUUAUUAUUGCUGCGCUAGCAAAAACAUAUGCAUUUAGCUGAAUUUGCAGUUUGCAGGGAAGACAUCCAUCAUAGUCACAAGAUGGUAAUAGUCACCAGCUGUCCUGUGAAACAAGAUAUCCAAGUUGGGUGCUUUCCACAUAGGAUGGAUUUUUGCUUGCUUGCUGAUAACACAGUAUAUGAGAAAAUGUCUAACGUAAUGAGCUAUUGCAGAAAUAAAGAAGCGAUCUUUAUAAGGACAUAAGGAAGGGCGAUGUCUAAGCUUAUUGGCUUAAUUUUGCUCUAGUACAUGAAUAUGUAAUGCCUAAAGAUAGCCGGGAAAAAAGGUCUAUAAACCCAUGGAACUGUUGAUCGGGCUCCAGUCUUUGAGAGGAGACUCCACUGGGCCUAUUGCUGUCAGCAAUAAACUUACUUUCUAUUUCUCCAA
Long non-coding RNA from Podarcis raffonei (Aeolian wall lizard), 2024 nucleotides. RefSeq lists it as uncharacterized. The transcript is spliced from 2 exons. The record is from RefSeq and is a predicted model, not a curated record. Lineage: Eukaryota; Metazoa; Chordata; Lepidosauria; Squamata; Lacertidae.